RNAcentral lists this ribosomal RNA (396 nucleotides) under uncultured bacterium. RNAcentral's name for it is "partial 16S ribosomal RNA". It matches the Rfam family "Bacterial small subunit ribosomal RNA", at positions 523 to 918 of the family's 1533-position model. The record is from RNAcentral.
AUACGUAGGGGGCAAGCGUUAUCCGGAUUUACUGGGUGUAAAGGGAGCGUAGACGGCAAAGCAAGUCUGAAGUGAAAGCCCCGGGCUCAACCCGGGAAUUGCUUUGGAAACUGUUUAGCUGGAGUGCAGGAGAGGUAAGCGGAAUUCCUAGUGUAGCGGUGAAAUGCGUAGAUAUUAGGAGGAACACCGGCGGCGAAGGCGGCUUACUGGACUGUAACUGACGUUGAGGCUCGAAAGCGUGGGGAGCAAACAGGAUUAGAUACCCUGGUAGUCCACGCCGUAAACGAUGAUUACUAGGUGUUGGUUGUCAUAGACAAUCGGUGCCGCAGCAAACGCAAUAAGUAGUCCACCUGGGGAGUACAUUCGCAAGAAUGAAACUCAAAUGAAUUGACGGGG